RNAcentral lists this ribosomal RNA (406 nucleotides) under uncultured bacterium. RNAcentral's name for it is "bacterial SSU rRNA". It matches the Rfam family "Bacterial small subunit ribosomal RNA", at positions 355 to 776 of the family's 1533-position model. The record is from RNAcentral.
UGGGGGAUAUUGCACAAUGGGGGGAACCCUGAUGCAGCGACGCCGCGUGAGUGAAGAAGCAUUUCGGUGUGUAAAGCUCUAUCAGCAGGGAAGAAGAAAUGACGGUACCUGAGUAAGAAGCCCCGGCUAACUACGUGCCAGCAGCCGCGGUAAUACGUAGGGGGCAAGCGUUAUCCGGAUUUACUGGGUGUAAAGGGAGCGUAGACGGUAGUGCAAGUCAGAUGUGAAAGCCCGGGGCUUAACCGCGGGACUGCAUUUGAAACUGUGCGACUGGAGUGCAGGAGAGGUAAGCGGAAUUCCUGGUGUAGCGGUGAAAUGCGUAGAUAUCAGGAGGAACACCAGUGGCGAAGGCGGCUUACUGGACUGUAACUGACGUUGAGGCUCGAAAGCGUGGGGAGCAAACAGG